CCCUUAGACGUUCUGGGCCGCACGCGCGCUACACUGACCAGUGCAACAAGCAUCCGUCCUUGGCCGACAGGCUCGGGCAAUCUUUGAACGCUGGUCGUGAUGGGGAUAGACUUUUGCAAUUUUUGGUCUUCAACGAGGAAUUCCUAGUAAACGCAAGUCAUCAACUUGCAUUGAUUACGUCCCUGCCCUUUGUACACACCGCCCGUCGCACCUACCGAUUGAAUGGUCCGGUGAAGCCUCCGGAUUGGCGCGCACCUCGGUGCCGCCGAGAAGUUGGCUAAACCUUACCAUUUAGAGGAAGGUGAGGUCGUAACA
This 315-nucleotide ribosomal RNA is filed under the name uncultured eukaryote. RNAcentral describes it as "partial 18S ribosomal RNA". It matches the Rfam family "Eukaryotic small subunit ribosomal RNA", at positions 1470 to 1796 of the family's 1831-position model. The record is from RNAcentral.